Molecule: ribosomal RNA, 180 nt
Filed under: Astronia sp. Fernando 2955
Lineage: Eukaryota; Viridiplantae; Streptophyta; Magnoliopsida; Myrtales; Melastomataceae
Description: 5.8S ribosomal RNA
Rfam family: 5.8S ribosomal RNA (bases 27-180)
About the family: 5.8S ribosomal RNA (5.8S rRNA) is a component of the large subunit of the eukaryotic ribosome. It is transcribed by RNA polymerase I as part of the 45S precursor that also contains 18S and 28S rRNA. Functionally, it is thought that 5.8S rRNA may be involved in ribosome translocation.
Source: RNAcentral
ACGCAAUCUCUACUCAAGUCUAAAAUGACUCUCGGCAACGGAUAUCUCGGCUCUUGCAUCGAUGAAGAACGUAGCGAAAUGCGAUGCUUGGUGUGAAUUGCAGAAUCCCGCGAACCAUCAAUUCUUUGAACGCAAGUUGCGCCCGAAGCCAUUCGGCCGAGGGCACGCCUGCCUGGGCGU